Manacus vitellinus (golden-collared manakin) is the source of this 527-nucleotide long non-coding RNA. RefSeq lists it as uncharacterized. Lineage: Eukaryota; Metazoa; Chordata; Aves; Passeriformes; Pipridae. The transcript has 4 exons. The record is from RefSeq and is a predicted model, not a curated record.
UUGCCCAAAAGCAUUUAAGUUGGGCCCCCCAUGAGGUUGACUUACUGGCUGGAGUGGCUGGAAUUCCUUUGUUUUGCUCUUCAGAUGCUCUCUUGCUGACCUGUGCUCCCCCUCCAGACUCCAAGCAUCUGCUGCUGAUGCUGGCAUCAAACUGAGCACAUAUUUCUUCUGACCGCAUGGGCACAUGAAGUUUUUCCAGGGUCUAGGGCUGUUCAUUCCAGUGCACCUGCUGCAGCCUUCCAGCCAGUGACCUGGUCUGACCUCAGAUGUGUGAUAGUUGGCUGCAGCCAUGUAACACUGACCAGCCCCUGUGCAGGCUGACCCCCAUCACGACUGCAUGGUGGCUGUUGUGGGAGGCAGACUACAUGACAUCACCUGGUACCUCUAUGCAGAAACAACUAUAUAUUUGGAACAUGAAAACUUUCAAUAAGGAGUGCAGGAAGUAUAUUCUGCAUUCAACAUCUGAAUAUCAACAAACAUCAUCCUCAUCAUCCAAGUUUGGACCUGAAGAAAAUGAGGGGAAUAAA